Molecule: ribosomal RNA, 621 nt
Filed under: Triticum aestivum (bread wheat)
Lineage: Eukaryota; Viridiplantae; Streptophyta; Magnoliopsida; Poales; Poaceae
Description: partial small subunit ribosomal RNA
Source: RNAcentral
AUGCAGUUCAAAACAAAGGAAGAAGCUCAGGAAUAUUUCAAUUUCUACUCGAAAGUGGCAGGAUUUUCGGUGGCUACAGUAGCAAUCUCAAGAACAGCAAGCAAAAAAAGGAACAAUGAGGUGACAAGGAUCACUAUGAAGUGCAACAAGUGGGGCACAACAAAAGAAAUAGAUAAGGAAUGCAUAGUGCCCAUGAGAAAAUCUACAGUCGUAGCUAAAACAGAUUGUAAAGUCAUGAUGGUCAUAUCAUAAAAAGGAGGCAUGUGGGAAAUCACAAGACAACAACUAGAACACAUCCAUGAGUUAACACCAAACAGUAGAUUCUUCAGGUCACAUAAGUACAUGUCGGAUGAAGAGAAGUGCUUGAUAAGGGUGUUGAAGCAUACAAACCUAGAAGCAAGAAGGAUUGUAGUUGUCCUAGCUUACUUGAGAGGAGGAAUGGCUCAUCUGCCCUACACAAAGAAACAUGUCACGAACUAUGCAACAACAAUUAACAGAGACAUAACAAACUCUGACAUGAUGGAAGUAGUGCAAAUGUUCAACAAGAAGCAAACAGAAAAUCCUGGCUUUUGCUACUCGUUUGAGCUAGAUGGAGAGAAUAAAGUGAGGAGCUUAUUCUAG